GACGAACGCUGGCGGCGUGCCUAAUACAUGCAAGUUGAGCGCUGAAGGUUGGUACUUGUACCAACUGGAUGAGCAGCGAACGGGUGAGUAACGCGUGGGGAAUCUGCCUUUGAGCGGGGGACAACAUUUGGAAACGAAUGCUAAUACCGCAUAAAAACUUUAAACACAAGUUUUAAGUUUGAAAGAUGCAAUUGCAUCACUCAAAGAUGAUCCCGCGUUGUAUUAGCUAGUUGGUGAGGUAAAGGCUCACCAAGGCGAUGAUACAUAGCCGACCUGAGAGGGUGAUCGGCCACAUUGGGACUGAGACACGGCCCAAACUCCUACGGGAGGCAGCAGUAGGGAAUCUUCGGCAAUGGACGAAAGUCUGACCGAGCAACGCCGCAUGAGUGAAGAAGGUUUUCGGAUCGUAAAACUCUGUUGGUAGGGAAGAACGUUGGUGAGAGUGGAAAGCUCAUCAAGUGACGGUAACUACCCAGAAAGGGACGGCUAACUACGUG
This 497-nucleotide ribosomal RNA is filed under the name uncultured bacterium. RNAcentral describes it as "partial 16S ribosomal RNA". It matches the Rfam family "Bacterial small subunit ribosomal RNA", at positions 28 to 507 of the family's 1533-position model. The record is from RNAcentral.